Molecule: long non-coding RNA, 1304 nt
Organism: Acomys russatus (golden spiny mouse)
Lineage: Eukaryota; Metazoa; Chordata; Mammalia; Rodentia; Muridae
Exons: 2
Source: RefSeq, a predicted model, not a curated record
GAGUCCUUGCUAAUAUCAACAGCCCAAAGGCGUUUCCCUACCACCUGGGAAGGAAAUAUCUUUCUAAAAGAUGGCACACGGCUUUCCUGUUCACCAGCAGGUCUCAAGCAGCAUCUGGCCGCGUCGGGAACUGGUGAGUGCUGUGAUAAGACGAGGGCAGGCAGAGGAGCCUGCAGCCAGAGGCAGCGUGCACCGUCCAGGGUGCAGACUUUCCCCGACACCGUGAGAGUGGCUGCGCACUUCAAAGAGUGUGUGUUUGCCUGUGUGCAAUUAGGAAAGGCAGCUGUGAAGCGAUCAACAUGCCCUCACCCCAUCAAAACCAGGGCAACUCGACUCUGUUGAGGAAACAAACCCCAGCCAUCCCAAGCGGGAGUGAAACGUGAGCCCUGCACAAAACACUGGCAUGGCUUCGGCAGUACCGGGAAACCUGCGUUCCUUCCAGCAGCCUCUGCGGAGCUUCCACUCAGCCAGCAAGCUCAGGUUGCUGAGAUGUUUGUACCUGAUGAGUUUUGUUUCUGUGCUUGCAGUCAGGUGUUCUGCACUGGUGUGUGCUGGGCCUUAGCAGCAAGAGCGGCAGCGGGCCUGGCCUCUCGGGUCUCCUCUCCCACCAAACCUGGAGCUUCACUUCACGUUCCAUUUCUGCGAAAAUGUCCUGAAGACAAAAGCCUACCCCUAACAUUUACAGUACUGUAUGCUAUUCCUCUUUAGACUCUUGCAAUGCUGAUAAUCCAUGCUGUCCUGAAAAUCGCCCUGGGCACCAAGUGCCAAAGUGGAGUGAGUUCACAGUGCCCUUUACUAAUAGGAAGUGAACAAGACCUUCAAAUAAGACCAGGAGUCUGUCACUGAGUUCAGAAUUACAUCACAGAAUUCUAGAGGUGGGCAAGAGAGGCUUGUUGUUGCAUCAUUUUUUUUUUUUUCUAUGACAUUCUAGCAAUCUUCUUCGUCUAGUUCUGAUUGCUGAGGGAUGCACCCAGUUCCAGUUCUGGAAAACUCUAAGGAUUGCAGUGUUAUUUCUAACACUACCUGGAAUUCUCUGAGAAAUUGUUCUUCAAACAAUGAAAGGCUGAAGUUACUCCUUUCCGCAUAUUUUAAUCAGUGUGUGUGUACUUAAAGCUCAUGAGAAAAUGAGUGUUCUAUCCUUUGUUCACACUGAGGUUUCAUUCCUUGCUGUGGAUAGUAUGAAUCUUUGAAUAUUUGGAAACAAUCUUUGGUUUUUACGUAGUGCUCUGAGAUGAUGUAAUGAAAUGUUAUAUUGUAACAUUUUAACCUUGUAAAUGAUUUGACACAUAAAUAUUAUUAUUGUU